This 91-nucleotide transfer RNA is filed under the name Thermofilum pendens. Its description in RNAcentral is "tRNA-Ala". It matches the Rfam family "tRNA". From Rfam's summary of the family: Transfer RNA (tRNA) molecules are approximately 80 nucleotides in length. Their secondary structure includes four short double-helical elements and three loops (D, anti-codon, and T loops). Lineage: Archaea; Thermoproteati; Thermoproteota; Thermoprotei; Thermofilales; Thermofilaceae. The record is from RNAcentral.
GGGCCGGUCGUCUAGUGGGAGGAUAACCCCUUUUACUCAAACCGCCCUUGCACGGCGGAGGUCCCGGGUUCGAAUCCCGGCCGGUCCACCA